UGAGGAAUAUUGGUCAAUGGGGGCAACCCUGAACCAGCCAAGUCGCGUGAAGGAUGAAGGUCUUAUGGAUUGUAAACUUCUUUUACACGGGAAUAAAGUGGGGGACGUGUCCCCCUUUGCAUGUACCGUGUGAAUAAGGAUCGGCUAACUCCGUGCCAGCAGCCGCGGUAAUACGGAGGAUCCGAGCGUUAUCCGGAUUUAUUGGGUUUAAAGGGUGCGCAGGCGGGAUGUUAAGUCGGCGGUGAAAUUUUGCAGCUCAACUGUAAAAGUGCCUUCGAUACUGGCCUCCUUGAGUGUGGAUGAAGUAGGCGGAAUUUGUGGUGUAGCGGUGAAAUGCUUAGAUAUCACGAGGAGCUCCGAUUGCGCAGGCAGCUUACUAAGCCACAACUGACGCUCAUGCACGAAGGCGUGGGGAUCAAACA
Molecule: ribosomal RNA, 422 nt
Filed under: uncultured bacterium
Lineage: Bacteria
Description: bacterial SSU rRNA
Rfam family: Bacterial small subunit ribosomal RNA
Source: RNAcentral